Molecule: ribosomal RNA, 490 nt
Filed under: uncultured bacterium
Lineage: Bacteria
Description: partial 16S ribosomal RNA
Rfam family: Bacterial small subunit ribosomal RNA
Source: RNAcentral
GAUGAACGCUAGCGAUAGGCUUAACACAUGCCAGUCGAGGGGUAACGUGUUGGAAGCUUGCUUCCGAUGACGACGACCGGCGGAUGGGUGCGUAACGCGUAUGCAACUUGCCUCACAGUGGAGAAUAACCCGGAGAAAUCCGGACUAAUGUUCCAUACACUCUUAAGUACUCCUGUACAUGAGAGGAAAGAUUUAUCGCUGUGAGAUAGGCAUGCGUCCUAUUAGGUAGUUGGUGAGGUAACGGCUCACCAAGCCGACGAUAGGUAGGGGUGCUGAGAGGCAGAUCCCCCACAUUGGGACUGAGACACGGCCCAAACUCCUACGGGAGGCAGCAGUGAGGAAUAUUGGUCAAUGGAGGAAACUCUGAACCAGCCAAGUCGCGUGAAGGAAGAAUGUCCUAAGGAUUGUAAACUUCUUUAGCGAGCGAGUAAGGACUUCCACGUGAUGGGAGUUGGAAAGUAGCUCGAGAAUAAGUAUCGGCUAACUCCGU